Molecule: ribosomal RNA, 279 nt
Filed under: uncultured bacterium
Lineage: Bacteria
Description: partial 16S ribosomal RNA
Rfam family: Bacterial small subunit ribosomal RNA
Source: RNAcentral
UGCCAGCCGCCGCGGUAAUACGGAGGGGGUUAGCGUUGUUCGGAAUUACUGGGCGUAAAGCGUACGUAGGCGGAUUAGUCAGUCAGAUGUGAAAUCCCAGGGCUCAACCUUGGAACUGCAUUUGAAACUGGUUAACCAGAGUCUUGUAGAGGGGGGUAGAAUUUCAGGUGUAGCGGUGAAAUGCGUAGAGAUCUGAAGGAAUACCAGUGGCGAAGGCGGCCCCCUGGACAAAGACUGACGCUCAGAUGCGAAAGCGUGGGGAGCAAACAGGAUUAGAUA